This 185-nucleotide ribosomal RNA is filed under the name uncultured bacterium. RNAcentral's name for it is "partial 16S ribosomal RNA". It matches the Rfam family "Bacterial small subunit ribosomal RNA", at positions 347 to 524 of the family's 1533-position model. The record is from RNAcentral.
GGCAGCAGUAGGGAAUCUUCCGCAAUGGGCGAAAGCCUGACGGAGCAACGCCGCGUGAGUGAUGAAGGUCUUCGGAUCGUAAAGCUCUGUUGCCAAAGAAGAACGGCUUGGAGAGUAACUGCUCUAGGUUUGACGGUAUUUGAGAAGAAAGCCCCGGCUAACUACGUGCCAGCAGCCGCGGUAAU